Molecule: ribosomal RNA, 909 nt
Filed under: uncultured bacterium
Lineage: Bacteria
Description: bacterial SSU rRNA
Rfam family: Bacterial small subunit ribosomal RNA
Source: RNAcentral
AGAGUUUGAUCAUGGCUCAGGACGAACGCUGGCGGCGUGCCUAAUACAUGCAAGUCGAACGAACUCUGGUAUUGAUUGGUGCUUGCAUCAUGAUUUACAUUUGAGUGAGUGGCGAACUGGUGAGUAACACGUGGGAAACCUGCCCAGAAGCGGGGGAUAACACCUGGAAACAGAUGCUAAUACCGCAUAACAACUUGGACCGCAUGGUCCGAGUUUGAAAGAUGGCUUCGGCUAUCACUUUUGGAUGGUCCCGCGGCGUAUUAGCUAGAUGGUGGGGUAACGGCUCACCAUGGCAAUGAUACGUAGCCGACCUGAGAGGGUAAUCGGCCACAUUGGGACUGAGACACGGCCCAAACUCCUACGGGAGGCAGCAGUAGGGAAUCUUCCACAAUGGACGAAAGUCUGAUGGAGCAACGCCGCGUGAGUGAAGAAGGGUUUCGGCUCGUAAAACUCUGUUGUUAAAGAAGAACAUAUCUGAGAGUAACUGCUCAGGUAUUGACGGUAUUUAACCAGAAAGCCACGGCUAACUACGUGCCAGCAGCCGCGGUAAUACGUAGGUGGCAAGCGUUGUCCGGAUUUAUUGGGCGUAAAGCGAGCGCAGGCGGUUUUUUAAGUCUGAUGUGAAAGCCUUCGGCUCAACCGAAGAAGUGCAUCGGAAACUGGGAAACUUGAGUGCAGAAGAGGACAGUGGAACUCCAUGUGUAGCGGUGAAAUGCGUAGAUAUAUGGAAGAACACCAGUGGCGAAGGCGGCUGUCUGGUCUGUAACUGACGCUGAGGCUCGAAAGUAUGGGUAGCAAACAGGAUUAGAUACCCUGGUAGUCCAUACCGUAAACGAUGAAUGCUAAGUGUUGGAGGGUUUCCGCCCUUCAGUGCUGCAGCUAACGCAUUAAGCAUUCCGCCUGGGGAGU